UAAAUUAAAGCUUUGUUGAAGCGCUGGAUUUUUAACUCAGAGAAGCCUUUUAGGGUUGAUUUAG
This 64-nucleotide transfer RNA is filed under the name Bathymodiolus thermophilus. RNAcentral's name for it is "tRNA-Lys". Lineage: Eukaryota; Metazoa; Mollusca; Bivalvia; Mytilida; Modiolidae. The record is from RNAcentral.